GCGGUAUUUCUCCUGGGAGAGAACACAGCCUUCCAAGCUGUCGGAGACGGUUCGAAUCCGUCAUACCGCUCCA
This 73-nucleotide transfer RNA is filed under the name Candidatus Riesia sp. RNAcentral's name for it is "tRNA-Gly". It matches the Rfam family "tRNA". Rfam says of the family: Transfer RNA (tRNA) molecules are approximately 80 nucleotides in length. Their secondary structure includes four short double-helical elements and three loops (D, anti-codon, and T loops). Further hydrogen bonds mediate the characteristic L-shaped molecular structure. tRNAs have two regions of fundamental functional importance: the anti-codon, which is responsible for specific mRNA codon recognition, and the 3' end, to which the tRNAs corresponding amino acid is attached (by aminoacyl-tRNA synthetases). tRNAs cope with the degeneracy of the genetic code in two manners: having more than one tRNA (with a specific anti-codon) for a particular amino acid; and 'wobble' base-pairing, i.e. permitting non-standard base-pairing at the 3rd anti-codon position. The record is from RNAcentral. Lineage: Bacteria; Pseudomonadati; Pseudomonadota; Gammaproteobacteria; Enterobacterales; Enterobacteriaceae.